This 490-nucleotide ribosomal RNA is filed under the name uncultured bacterium. Its description in RNAcentral is "bacterial SSU rRNA". It matches the Rfam family "Bacterial small subunit ribosomal RNA", at positions 903 to 1397 of the family's 1533-position model. The record is from RNAcentral.
AAAGGAAUAGACGGGGACCCGCACAAGCGGUGGAUGAUGUGGAUUAAUUCGAUGCAACGCGAAAAACCUUACCUACCCUUGACAUGUCUGGAAGCUCCAAGAGAUUGGAGUGUGCUCGCAAGAGAACCAGAACACAGGUGCUGCAUGGCUGUCGUCAGCUCGUGUCGUGAGAUGUUGGGUUAAGUCCCGCAACGAGCGCAACCCUCGUCACUAGUUGCUACGCAAGGGCACUCUAGUGAGACUGCCGGUGACAAACCGGAGGAAGGUGGGGAUGACGUCAAGUCCUCAUGGCCCUUAUGGGUAGGGCUUCACACGUCAUACAAUGGUUAGGACAGAGGGUCGCCAACCCGCGAGGGGGAGCUAAUCCCACAAACCUAAUCGUAGUCCGGAUUGCACUCUGCAACUCGAGUGCAUGAAGUCGGAAUCGCUAGUAAUCGCGGAUCAGAAUGCCGCGGUGAAUACGUUCCCGGGUCUUGUACACACCGCCCGU